ACACGGACCAAGGAGUGCAACAUGCGUGCGAGUCUCCGGGUGGCAAACCCGUGGGCGCAAUGAAAGUGAAGGCGGGCCCGGCCCGCUGUGGCGAGAGCCCCCGGCUCCUCGGGGGCGCAUCGUCGACCGAUCCCAGGUCACGCUGUGGCGGGAUUUGAGUGAGAGCGUGCCUGUUGCGACCCGAAAGAUGGUGAACUAUGCCUGAAUAGGGUGAAGCCAGAAGAAAUUCUGGUGGAAGCUCGCAGCGAUUCUGACGUGCAAAUCGAUCGUCAAAUUUGGGUAUAGGGGCGAAAGACUAAUCGAACCAUCUAGUAGCUGGUUCCCUCCGAAGUUUCCCUCAGGAUAGCUGGAGCCCGGUGCAGUUUUAUCAGGUAAAGCGAAUGAUUAGAGGUCUUGGGGCUGAAACAGCUUCAACCUAUUCUCAAACUUUAAAUGGGUAAGAAGCCCGGCUUGCUUGGUUGAAGUCGGGCGCAGAAUGCCGGGGUUCCUAGUGGGCCAUUUUUGGUAAGCAGAACUGGCGAUGUGGGAUGAACCAAAUGUCGGGUUAAGGUGCCUGAAUCGACGCUCAUCAGAUCCCAUGAAAGGUGUUGGUUGAUACUGACAGCAGGACGGUGGCCAUGGAAGUCGGAAUCCGCUAAGGAGUGUGUAACAACU
RNAcentral lists this ribosomal RNA (654 nucleotides) under Clathria barleei. Its description in RNAcentral is "eukaryotic LSU rRNA". It matches the Rfam family "Eukaryotic large subunit ribosomal RNA", at positions 659 to 1290 of the family's 3401-position model. Lineage: Eukaryota; Metazoa; Porifera; Demospongiae; Poecilosclerida; Microcionidae. The record is from RNAcentral.